Molecule: microRNA precursor, 101 nt
Filed under: Daphnia pulex (common water flea)
Lineage: Eukaryota; Metazoa; Arthropoda; Branchiopoda; Diplostraca; Daphniidae
Description: microRNA dpu-mir-219 precursor
Gene: dpu-mir-219
Rfam family: mir-219 microRNA precursor family (bases 13-87)
About the family: The hairpin precursors (represented here) are predicted based on base pairing and cross-species conservation -- their extents are not known. In this case the mature sequence is excised from the 5' arm of the hairpin.
Source: miRBase by way of RNAcentral
UUCUAAAACGUUGCAGGCCCUGAUUGUCCAAACGCAAUUCUUGUACAAAUAUAAUAUCAAGAAAUGUGUAGGGGCAUCGUUGCUUGCACGUAUAAAUCAUC